UCAGACGGCCGGGCGGCCGCUCCGGUCCAGUGGCGAAAGCCGGGCCGGAGAGGAAAGUCCGGGCUCCACGGAAGGAGGGCGCCGGGAAACCCCCGGCGGGCCGGUUCGCCGGUUCAGGGAAAGCGCCGCAGAAAACAAACCGCCGGACAGUCGGUUCGCCGAUUGGCCGGCAAGGGUGAAACGGUGCGGUAAGAGCGCACCGCCCCGACUGCAAGGAAGGGGGCACGGCAAGCCCCGCCCGGAGCAAGACCGAAUAGGGAUGGACGCGCCGCUCCGGCGGCGCACGCGCCUUCCGAGCGCCAUCCGGGUAGGUCGCUAGAGGCGGCGGGCAACCGCCGCCCCAGAUGAAUGGUCGCCGCGGGCUUCGGCCCGUACAGAACCCGGCUUACAGGCCGUCUGACCUU
This 404-nucleotide RNase P RNA is filed under the name Marinicauda algicola. Its description in RNAcentral is "Bacterial RNase P class A". It matches the Rfam family "Bacterial RNase P class A". Rfam says of the family: Ribonuclease P (RNase P) is a ubiquitous endoribonuclease, found in archaea, bacteria and eukarya as well as chloroplasts and mitochondria. Lineage: Bacteria; Pseudomonadati; Pseudomonadota; Alphaproteobacteria; Maricaulales; Maricaulaceae. The record is from Rfam by way of RNAcentral.